RNAcentral lists this ribosomal RNA (307 nucleotides) under Clostridium perfringens. RNAcentral's name for it is "partial 16S ribosomal RNA". It matches the Rfam family "Bacterial small subunit ribosomal RNA", at positions 1 to 303 of the family's 1533-position model. The record is from RNAcentral. Lineage: Bacteria; Bacillati; Bacillota; Clostridia; Eubacteriales; Clostridiaceae.
UUUAAAUUGAGAGUUUGAUCCUGGCUCAGGAUGAACGCUGGCGGCGUGCUUAACACAUGCAAGUCGAGCGAUGAAGUUUCCUUCGGGAAACGGAUUAGCGGCGGACGGGUGAGUAACACGUGGGUAACCUGCCUCAUAGAGUGGAAUAGCCUUCCGAAAGGAAGAUUAAUACCGCAUAACGUUGAAAGAUGGCAUCAUCAUUCAACCAAAGGAGCAAUCCGCUAUGAGAUGGACCCGCGGCGCAUUAGCUAGUUGGUGGGGUAACGGCCUACCAAGGCGACGAUGCGUAGCCGACCUGAGAGGGUGA